CAGCCACCUAAGUCAACAAUGGUGGGAGUCAACAAUGGUGGUGAAGCCAUCCUUCCUUAGUCACAAAUUGUAGGCACCAAACUUGUGCCACUUGCCUUGCUUUGUCUUUUGCAAGACAAAGGCAAGGAUGCUUGCCUAUAAAUAGGCAGUGCAUCCUUGCCAUAUAGAACACACCACAAGAGAGAAAUUUGAGAGCAAGUAGAGAGAGUGAAGAGAGAGUAAUCCCACAAAGUUGUGAGGUAUUUGUGAGAGAGUAAGUGAGGUGUUUUCUCCUAGUAAUAGAGAGAUUUCAGUUGUUCUCCUAUUGUUAGAGAGAGGUUGUAAUUCCCACAUUACUUAGUAAAAUCCUUCUAUACUUGUCCGUGGACGUAGCCAAAUUGGGUGAACCACGUAAAUUCUUGUGUGUCUAAUUUCUCACUUUGUCCUAUCCUUUGCCUUUUAUCUUGUCGGGUUUGCAUGCCAGUAUCCUAACACUCUAGUCCUGUGCACUGAUGAUGCUGGAUCGAGUUUUUCCCACCAGUCUUCCUAACGAGUAUAAUAUUGCUUCGACUGCUUUUGGCAAGUAUAAAUAACAUCUGCUGUGCUUGUGACAUGAAUUAGAUCAGGUAGCUUUCAUCAUUGUUGAUGGGAGAUCAUGUAUCUAACCACUAGUGGCUGUAUGUUUUAUUGUCAAAUAUGAAGGUCUUGGAAAGAGGGAAACGUUUGAGCUCGCAAGAAAAGGGAUUGAGUUUAUGUGUGCUGGUGAUGGAGUCAAGCAGGAUUCAGCAGCAAAGAAACUAAAUCCAUGAUCAGGCAUCUGGUGGAGCAUAAGCACCCACCCCUGGAAGUAUGCAUAAUCAUUUUAGUGAAAUUGUUGAUGAGGUUUGAGCUACAGAACACUUUAUCCGGAGCUCGAUACCCUAUUGAUCUCAUUGAUAUUGAACUUUGCAGAUAUCUUGUCAGUUCAGUAGUAUUCUUAGAUUGAAAGUAGGCGUGUCCAUGCAUGUUGAACAUGAACAUAUUUGAAUUUGUAACCCAUGCGUUCUUGGCAUUCCACGAGUAAAACCAUUGCCACUCAUUGGAAUCAAAUUUGCAAAUCCCAGAAUUUGUCUGUCUGAUAGUUUCUGCUGACAA
This is a long non-coding RNA of Populus trichocarpa (black cottonwood), 1113 nucleotides long. RefSeq lists it as uncharacterized. Lineage: Eukaryota; Viridiplantae; Streptophyta; Magnoliopsida; Malpighiales; Salicaceae. The transcript has 2 exons. The record is from RefSeq and is a predicted model, not a curated record.